CUUCUGGAUAGACAGAUAUUCAACCAUCUGUCACAGGCAUUGUUUACAAGGUGGCCAAGUCGCUCCUUUGCCUCUAGUAAGAGCUCUUGCAGAAGCACCGAGCACAAUUAACUGCAGAAAUGGAAGAGGUAAAUGAAAGGGGAAGAACCAAGAGAGAAGUUAAAAUGGACUCUUCAGCAAAUAACUAUCUGAUUAGGGAAUCUCUUGUACUGUGAGUUAGAUCAAAAGAAAAUUCACCCUUGCUGCCCAUCCAUUGACUUCACUGGAGACAGGCCCAACUCUUUGGCAGAAGAUGUGUGUGUUCUUCAGGACUGGAGGAGCACAACAUUGCUGAGGCACUGAGGAGAACAGAGAUAAACAGCUCUUCAUACAGCCCAAGGUAAAGAGUGAGGUUUCAAAAGUAGUGGUGGUCCUGUCGUGAAAAGAUAUCAGGGUACAGCACAUUUUUCUGCAUCCAUUGUGUUUUGUUUGCUGAUAAAAGGCCUCUGUGAGAUACUACAAAUGGACACGCAGCCCCACCAUGUCUUUCAAUGCAAGCAGCAACUUGGAGGAGUCCUUUCCACUGCUGCUUCGGUGCUUCAUCUUUACAGAGCUUGUUUCAGAGGAACGCCAUAUGGUCUCAUCUAUUAAUGAUUCUGAAGCUCUUUUAUCUGUGGAGGAAAGGCUUUAUAAUGACAACUAUAAUGCUGCAAUCCUAUAUUAAUCUCUGGAUGUCCGGUACAGAUGGGACUAGAAUUUGUGUGCGUUAUCCAGUUUAAUAAAGAGCUAUGCAGUGUUCUCAGCAGAUCCCUGGGUGACCUUUCUGGCUUUAACAAAUGAUCUAUCCAGGUUUGUUAUGUUUAAGCAGCACCAUCUUCUACUAAUAUUUUCUCCUUGACUGGCAACCAAACUUACUCAAGCAGAGGAAGUUGUAUCUGUUUAAUAUUCCUAGUCCUGCCCCGUUUAGCCCCCAACCCUGUAAUCAAACUCUCAUUGCAGAU
Strigops habroptila (Kakapo) is the source of this 980-nucleotide long non-coding RNA. RefSeq lists it as uncharacterized. The transcript is spliced from 3 exons. The record is from RefSeq and is a predicted model, not a curated record. Lineage: Eukaryota; Metazoa; Chordata; Aves; Psittaciformes; Psittacidae.